UCCAUCCAACCCCGGCAGCCCCUGCCGUGGGUGUCCCGGAUAGUGCUGCGCUGUCAGGCUCAGCCUGUCUGGGUCCCUCGGCUCAGCUCCCAGCCACGGGCAACUUAGCGAGCACCUCUGGAGUGAUUUCAGCUCUGUGAGUUCAGCUCUUGGUGAUUUCGCUCUGUGCUCACAAGUGCCUCUGGCAGACACACAGGGAUAGAGAGAGGAAAAGGCUGUAUGUGGUUCCACAGCGAUGUCCUUUAUUGCCAGCUCCUCUGAAGGGAUGCAGUGACAGCUCUGCCAAACUGGGCAGAAAUGGGUGUUUAUAUGGGGUACUGGGGUGUUGGAAAUUGUCCAAUUGCCAGGGCUGAGGAGAAUACACCAAUACCCUUACAGAGAGAUAAGAAGGGUCUGAAUGCAGAAGAGGGGCUUCUUUGGUCCAGUCACCGUGACUUAGGCAUUUCUUAUCUUAGGUGAGUGACCGCCAGGGAGGCCUUGCAGGGCCUCUGACUGCUACAGUGACACUGCAGAACCUCAUGGAACCAUGGGUCAGUUGUGACAAUGCAGGUCCAAGGACACCACGGUGACACUACAGAACCACAGGGAACCAAGGGGCCAUUGUGACACUGUGCUGCCUCAUGGAAUCAAGGAGACCAUUGUGAACUCAGAGACCCCAAGGAAGCAAGGGUCCACGGUGACCUUGUGCAGCCGCAGUGUCACAGAGGAGCCGCUGUGACACAGCGAGGGCACACGGAGCCCAGGGGCCAUUGUGACACAUCAGGGCUUUGUGGAACCACGAAGCCAUUGUGACACUGCAAGGCCUCAUGGAAGCAUGGGGCCAUUGUGACACUGCAGAAGCAAGGGGAACAUUGUGACACUCCAGGGCCUCAUGGAGCCAAGGAGACCAUUGUGACACUGUGGGGUCCAUGGAACCAAGGGAACAUGGAACAGGUCUGGCCGGCUGGGCUCCUGGGGACCACCUGACCACCUUGGCAUGUUGAGGGCUGCUUCUCAUCUGCCCCUGAAGCCCUGGGGCUCUGUUCUUUUCUUCCUAAUGUAAAUAAUUCUUCCUAUCCAGGAACCCACAGCCAAAAUUGAGAUUCCACCUCCAAAAUGCCCUGUGUCCAAGGAUAGCCCCUAGACAAAAGGUACCAGGAGAGUCAGGUCUGGCUGGCUUGGCCUAAGGGUGCCCACCUCUCAUCUUCUUCCAGAACACUUGGACUUGCACUUCUCUUUCCUGUAGGAAAAAAUCAUUCAUCCUGUCAUGGCCAAAACUGGGAUUCCACCUCCAAAACUCCCUACAUCCGAGGAUUAAUGCUUUGAGAAAUGUUUUUUGUUGAUUUAAUGACCUAUUAAACCUUUUCCCAAAGUUUCUCUUA
This is a non-coding RNA of Taeniopygia guttata (zebra finch), 1361 nucleotides long. The record is from RefSeq and is a predicted model, not a curated record. NCBI's taxonomy places the organism in Eukaryota, Metazoa, Chordata, Aves, Passeriformes, Estrildidae.